UUACCAAAUAUAACUUAUAUAUAUAUAAAGUAGCUCUUAAUCAUAAACUCAUCAUAGAUCCAAGACUCGAAUUUUGUAAGCAAGCCGUGUCAUUGUCUACGAAAAACUCAUUAGUGGCGCCCUUUUGAAAAAGUUAAAAGAAGAAAUAGUGUACAAAGUUAAAGAAAAUUAAGGACCCAAAAUUCAAAAAAAAAAAAAAAAAAAAACAAAUACAGCUAAGUCAUGAAAGCCAAUCCAUAAACAUUCGACUGUGUCUUAUUUAUUUUUAUUGCGUGUGUAUGGCGAUCAUAUUUUGAAAUUUAAAACUUGUAAUAAGUCGGUCUACAACGAACCACAUUGAAAGGCAGAUCAAGACCAUUAAAUAAAUUUAAAUGAAUGAGAAACCGGC
Molecule: long non-coding RNA, 388 nt
Filed under: Mytilus galloprovincialis (Mediterranean mussel)
Lineage: Eukaryota; Metazoa; Mollusca; Bivalvia; Mytilida; Mytilidae
Source: RNAcentral